RNAcentral lists this ribosomal RNA (492 nucleotides) under uncultured bacterium. RNAcentral describes it as "partial 16S ribosomal RNA". It matches the Rfam family "Bacterial small subunit ribosomal RNA", at positions 29 to 507 of the family's 1533-position model. The record is from RNAcentral.
AGUGAACGCUGGCGGUAGACCUAACACAUGCAAGUCGAACGGCAGCACAGUAAGAGCUUGCUCUUACGGGUGGCGAGUGGCGGACGGGUGAGGAAUACAUCGGAAUCUACUUUUUCGUGGGGGAUAACGUAGGGACACUUACGCUAAUACCGCAUACGACCUACGGGUGAAAGCAGGGGAUCUUCGGACCUUGCGCGAUUGAAUGAGCCGAUGUCGGAUUAGCUAGUUGGCGGGGUAAAGGCCCACCAAGGCGACGAUCCGUAGCUGGUCUGAGAGGAUGAUCAGCCACACUGGAACUGAGACACGGUCCAGACUCCUACGGGAGGCAGCAGUGGGGAAUAUUGGACAAUGGGCGCAAGCCUGAUCCAGCCAUACCGCGUGGGUGAAGAAGGCCUUCGGGUUGUAAAGCCCUUUUGUUGGGAAAGAAAAGCAGCAGGUUAAUACCCCGCUGUUCUGACGUUACCCAAAGAAUAAGCACCGGCUAACUUCGUG